AAAUAAAAUUGUUGGAAGUGUUAAGAGUAAAUAAAAGAAGGGAAGCUUGCAUUUGGUGUGUAUUAGAGAGAGAAAGAGGCAAAAGAGAAAAAAAAAAAGAAAGAGAUUUAGAGUGAGAAGGGGAGAAGAUUUGUGCAAGGAUUCAAAGGCUUGGAGUUAUUAAGAAUAAAGAUUUGAUUUUUAAAGCAAGACCAAGCUACAAAAAGUUAAGAAUGAGGAUGAUGACCCGAGCCUACAAUCGAGGCAGAGAAAAGGAAAGGAGCCUGCACAUGGCGGGAGCAAUUUCCAAGGAUGCACCUGAACCUCGUAGCUAGCUAUUAUAUUUAAAUAAAUACUGUAUAACUUUUAAGUACUAUGAAGUCCUGCGUGACUAGACUUUUGGGAUAUGUACGUUGUGGAGAUGAUCCAAGGACUUGUGGAUUGGUACCCACUGAACUUAUAUUAUGGCUCUAUAUUAUAUUAACGUAUGUUUGCAGGUUGCGAA
Long non-coding RNA from Daucus carota subsp. sativus, 484 nucleotides. RefSeq lists it as uncharacterized. The transcript has 2 exons. Lineage: Eukaryota; Viridiplantae; Streptophyta; Magnoliopsida; Apiales; Apiaceae. The record is from RefSeq and is a predicted model, not a curated record.